AUCAGCCUACCAAACACACCCUUAAAUCCAUUUCUUCUCCACACCUAAAACUCAACCAAAAUAUUGAUACUCUUCUUUCUCUCUUCUCUGUAAAAUGUCAAAUCCCUUGGACCGUCGGAUAAUGGCCAUGCCGAUGGUCUUCCACCUUCCCCUUCACCUUUCAAUCAUGCCUAUCAAGAUCACAGCUCUCCCAUCAACUUUAUAUCCCUUCUAUACCCCUUUUUUGAUCAAAUCAAUUUCCCAAAAUACUCCAACACCACUGUUACGUCUGAAAAGGCAGAGGGAGUGAAGAACCGUCAGAUUUUAAGGAUGUUAUCUCUUUAAAUAUGAUGGUUCCAAGUCCUUCACCUCAAAACAGUCUUUUCUUGUUCACAUCAAUCUGAAAUUCAGGCUUUCUCUUUGGAGCCUCUAUAGAGAGCUAUUGCAAUACCCUCUCAAGUUCGACUAUAAAAGCAGCCCUUUGGACUCUCAAUUUUUUUCAUGAAGAGUCAUCAGGAAACUAUCAUAAUUAGCAUUUAGUAUCAGCAAGAAUCACCAGGAAUUAAAAAUAGCACCAAGUAUUAGUUCAUACUACUAUUUUCUUCUUUAUUAUCUUGAUUCUCUUGUCGAGUUGGAAGUUCGAAGUUCGGGUGUGAGUUUUUUAAUACCAACUAGCAAGCCUUAAUUUGCUGCCCCAUACAAGAGAAAUAUGGUGAAAGAGGAGUGAAAUCUAAGCUGGAAAGGAGAAAAAGCGAGCUGAGCAAAACAAAAUCUGAAAUUAUGUCUCAGGAAUAGCCCUCAAAUAUCGCUAUCGCAAUCUAAAGAGUGGCAAUCGCGACAGGUGAAGAUGUCGCCAUCGCGAUUGGUCCAUAAAGUUUAAAGUGUUGUGAUCACGAGAGGAUCACCGCAAUCGCUUAAGUCUAACAGCAGAAGAAGUCACGAUUAUGAUAAAAUAGACUGCGAUCGCAGCCAUCAGGCAAAAUAUAAGGGUAGCGAUGGAAUUUCACAAGGCAUGAUCCCAAGACAUAAAAGUCUCAAUCCCUAUCAUUUUUCUGCAGCCAAGUUUUUAGUUUGUGGAGCUUAGCAUAUCUAGAAAACUAUUUUUGAGUGAAAACCCUCUUUUGAGUGGAUUCCAAGUAAGGAUUUAACAUUAUUAUUAGAUAUUUAUUGAGACUAAAAGCUGGAGAUACCUACUUUUUAUUCUU
This is a long non-coding RNA of Capsicum annuum, 1184 nucleotides long. RefSeq lists it as uncharacterized. NCBI's taxonomy places the organism in Eukaryota, Viridiplantae, Streptophyta, Magnoliopsida, Solanales, Solanaceae. The record is from RefSeq and is a predicted model, not a curated record. The transcript is spliced from 2 exons.